AACGCUAGCUACAGGCUUAACACAUGCAAGUCGAGGGGAAACGAUAUUGGAAGCUUGCUUCCGAUAGGCGUCGACCGGCGCACGGGUGAGUAACGCGUAUCCAACCUGCCCACCACUUGGGGAUAACCUUGCGAAAGUAAGACUAAUACCCAAUGAUAUCUCUAGAAGACAUCUGAAAGAGAUUAAAGAUUUAUCGGUGAUGGAUGGGGAUGCGUCUGAUUAGCUUGUUGGCGGGGUAACGGCCCACCAAGGCAACGAUUAGUAGGGGUUCUGAGAGGAAGGUCCCCCACAUUGGAACUGAGACACGGUCCAAACUCCUACGGGAGGCAGCAGUGAGGAAUAUUGGUCAAUGGGCGAGAGCCUGAACCAGCCAAGUAGCGUGCAGGAAGACGGCCCUAUGGGUUGUAAACUGCUUUUAUAAGGGAAUAAAGUUAGUCUCGUGAGACUUUUUGCAUGUACCUUAUGAAUAAGGACCGGCUAAUUCCGUGCCAGCAGCCGCGGUAAUACGGAAGGUCCGGGCGUUAUCCGGAUUUAUUGGGUUUAAAGGGAGCGUAGGCCGGAGAUUAAGCGUGUUGUGAAAUGUAGAUGCUCAACAUCUGAACUGCAGCGCGAACUGGUUUCCUUGAGUACGCACAAAGUGGGCGGAAUUCGUGGUGUAGCGGUGAAAUGCUUAGAUAUCACGAAGAACUCCGAUUG
RNAcentral lists this ribosomal RNA (696 nucleotides) under uncultured bacterium. RNAcentral describes it as "bacterial SSU rRNA". It matches the Rfam family "Bacterial small subunit ribosomal RNA", at positions 32 to 715 of the family's 1533-position model. The record is from RNAcentral.